GAUUGACCCAAAGGAACCCUCUGAACAC
RNAcentral lists this transfer RNA (28 nucleotides) under Gastrotheca stictopleura. Its description in RNAcentral is "partial tRNA-Phe". The record is from RNAcentral. Lineage: Eukaryota; Metazoa; Chordata; Amphibia; Anura; Hemiphractidae.